RNAcentral lists this ribosomal RNA (483 nucleotides) under uncultured bacterium. Its description in RNAcentral is "partial 16S ribosomal RNA". It matches the Rfam family "Bacterial small subunit ribosomal RNA", at positions 30 to 506 of the family's 1533-position model. The record is from RNAcentral.
AUUGAACGCUGGCGGCAGGCCUAACACAUGCAAGUCGAGCGGAUGAAGGGAGCUUGCUCCUGGAUUCAGCGGCGGACGGGUGAGUAAUGCCUAGGAAUCUGCCUGGCAGCGGGGGAUAACGUCCGGAAACGGGCGCUAAUACCGCAUACGUGCUGAGGGAGAAAGGGGGGGAUCUUCGGACCUCACGCUAUCAGAUGAGCCUAGGUCGGAUUAGCUAGUUGGUGGGGUAAAGGCCUACCAAGGCGACGAUCCGUAACUGGUCUGAGAGGAUGAUCAGUCACACUGGAACUGAGACACGGUCCAGACUCCUACGGGAGGCAGCAGUGGGGAAUAUUGGACAAUGGGCGAAAGCCUGAUCCAGCCAUGCCGCGUGUGUGAAGAAGGUCUUCGGAUUGUAAAGCACUUUAAGUUGGGAGGAAGGGCAGUAAGUUAAUACCUUGCUGUUUUGACGUUACCAACAGAAUAAGCACCGGCUAACUUCGU